GUCACUCUCUCUGAUGAGGAUGACGACUCUCUCUGCUCCACUCCAGAGGAUGAUGGUGAUGAUAAUGAUGAUGGUGGUCUUUGUUUUGGUGACACCUCUUCCUUCUCCAUGUGUACGUCUCAGACGUGAAAAUGUGAACAUGUCAAAUCCUCAUCUGGCCGAUCACAACAACACCAGCAGUGCAGAGGGGUUCACUGAGAUUGCUGUGCGGAACAACACAGUAAAAAACAUGGGAACCCACAUGGGGAACAGCACGGAGCAUGCCAUGGGGAACAGCACCCCCACGCUUUUGAUUCAUGGGGCCACAGGUGCUCGGUGUGUCCUGGCCACCUGUGGGACAGCGAACCUAGUUGACAGAUUGCAGGGUGGAGAGGAGAAGGCUGGCGACGCCACCGCAGACCCCUUUGGUCCUGGGAAAAAGUGAAGGGAGGCACCUGUUACUACUUUAUCAUCUUCAUCAUCAUCAGCUCCACCUCACACUCACCUGUCUGAGAGAAAAACACAAGAAAACCUAACCUUCACACAUCUGAGGAUGCAAAGAAGUUAACUACAAUUCUCAAGAUCCAUCUUACCAACAAACAUCCAGUGACAGAGCUGCACGCCACCACAGGUGGAAACCAAAGAGAACCAUCUUCAGUCUCACCUGUUUGAGUCCAACUGUGGUCACAUGGUCCAGCACAUGAUUGACAGAGACUCGAUGACUUUCAGCUCCUCCCAGUAUGUAUUUACAUCUUAUACUUUUAUUUUGAAGGGGCCUGUCGCUGAUCACUUGAAGUUUUCCUGUCGCCUUUUACGUGUCAGUUUGUGUCUCUGACAUCAGAGACAGAAAUUAAACAAAGCUAUUAAUUAACAAAGUUUGUUGGUGUUUCUGUGGAGCUGGUCGGAGUCACACUGAGCAUGUGCAAAAUGCCUACCUGUAAAUGUGACAGUCUGAAAUGUGUCCAUGUAAAGAAAAUCUGUUUCCAAUAAAGUAUUAAAUAAAGUUUGACUCUCCCUGC
Molecule: long non-coding RNA, 998 nt
Organism: Astatotilapia calliptera (eastern happy)
Lineage: Eukaryota; Metazoa; Chordata; Actinopteri; Cichliformes; Cichlidae
Source: Ensembl